This 275-nucleotide ribosomal RNA is filed under the name Listeria monocytogenes. RNAcentral's name for it is "partial 16S ribosomal RNA". It matches the Rfam family "Bacterial small subunit ribosomal RNA", at positions 1 to 264 of the family's 1533-position model. Lineage: Bacteria; Bacillati; Bacillota; Bacilli; Caryophanales; Listeriaceae. The record is from RNAcentral.
UUUAAAGAGAGUUUGAUCCUGGCUCAGGACGAACGCUGGCGGCGUGCCUAAUACAUGCAAGUCGAACGAACGGAGGAAGAGCUUGCUCUUCCAAAGUUAGUGGCGGACGGGUGAGUAACACGUGGGCAACCUGCCUGUAAGUUGGGGAUAACUCCGGGAAACCGGGGCUAAUACCGAAUGAUAGAAUGUGGCGCAUGCCACGCUUUUGAAAGAUGGUUUCGGCUAUCGCUUACAGAUGGGCCCGCGGUGCAUUAGCUAGUUGGUAGGGUAAUGGC